UACGUAUGGGGCAAGCGUUAUCCGGAUUUACUGGGCGUAAAGGGAGCGUAGGCGGCCUGGCAAGCCUGAUGUGAAAUACCGGGGCCCAACCCCGGGGCUGCAUUGGGAACUGCCAGGCUGGAGUGCCGGAGAGGCAGGCGGAAUUCCUAGUGUAGCGGUGAAAUGCGUAGAUAUUAGGAGGAACACCAGUGGCGAAGGCGGCCUGCUGGACGGUGACUGACGCUGAGGCUCGAAAGCGUGGGGAGCAAACAGG
This 253-nucleotide ribosomal RNA is filed under the name uncultured bacterium. Its description in RNAcentral is "partial 16S ribosomal RNA". It matches the Rfam family "Bacterial small subunit ribosomal RNA", at positions 524 to 776 of the family's 1533-position model. The record is from RNAcentral.